RNAcentral lists this transfer RNA (73 nucleotides) under Aeriscardovia sp. RNAcentral's name for it is "tRNA-Arg". It matches the Rfam family "tRNA". Rfam says of the family: Transfer RNA (tRNA) molecules are approximately 80 nucleotides in length. The record is from RNAcentral. Lineage: Bacteria; Bacillati; Actinomycetota; Actinomycetes; Bifidobacteriales; Bifidobacteriaceae.
GCCCCGGUAGCUCAGCGGAUAGAGCAACUGACUUCUAAUCUGUGUGUCGCCGGUUCGAUUCCGGCUCGGGGCA